CUUCAUAAGGUCCCGUUAGGUGCCGCUUAGAUGCACCUCGAACGAUGAACCGCUUUCGGGCGGGGAUUAGUGGCGAACGGGUGAGUAACACGUGGGCAAUCUGCCCUGCACUCUGGGACAAGCCCUGGAAACGGGGUCUAAUACCGGAUACUCACUGCCUUGGGCAUCCUUGGCGGUGGAAAGCUCCGGCGGUGCAGGAUGAGCCCGCGGCCUAUCAGCUAGUUGGUGAGGUAAUGGCUCACCAAGGCGACGACGGGUAGCCGGCCUGAGAGGGCGACCGGCCACACUGGGACUGAGACACGGCCCAGACUCCUACGGGAGGCAGCAGUGGGGAAUAUUGCACAAUGGGCGAAAGCCUGAUGCAGCGACGCCGCGUGAGGGAUGACGGCCUUCGGGUUGUAAACCUCUUUCAGCAGGGAAGAAGCGAGAGUGACGGUACCUGCAAAAAAAGCGCCGGCUAACUACGUGCCAGCAGCCGCGGUAAUACGUAGGGCGCAAGCGUUGUCCGGAAUUAUUGGGCGUAAAGAGCUCGUAGGCGGCUUGUCACGUCGGUUGUGAAAGCCCGGGGCUUAACCCCGGGUCUGCAGUCGAUACGGGCAGGCUAGAGUUCGGUAGGGGAGAUCGGAAUUCCUGGUGUAGCGGUGAAAUGCGCAGAUAUCAGGAGGAACACCGGUGGCGAAGGCGGAUCUCUGGGCCGAUACUGACGCUGAGGAGCGAAAGCGUGGGGAGCGAACAGGAUUAUAUACCCUGGUAGUCCACGCCGUAAACGGUGGGCACUAGGUGUGGGGCAAUUUUCCACGUUGUCCGUGCCGCAGCUAACGCAUUAAGUGCCCCGCCUGGGGAGUACGGCCGCAAGGCUAAACUCAUAUGAAUUGACGGUGGCCCGCACAAUCUGCGGAGCAUGUGUCUUAUUUCUACGCAACGCGAAAACCUUAUCAUGGGCUUGAAUAUCUCCGGAAAUGGCAAGAGAUGUCGCCCCCCUUGGGGUCGAGGUACAUGUGGUGGAAU
RNAcentral lists this ribosomal RNA (1008 nucleotides) under Streptomyces sp. EAGB34. RNAcentral's name for it is "bacterial SSU rRNA". It matches the Rfam family "Bacterial small subunit ribosomal RNA", at positions 19 to 1047 of the family's 1533-position model. The record is from RNAcentral. Lineage: Bacteria; Bacillati; Actinomycetota; Actinomycetes; Kitasatosporales; Streptomycetaceae.